This 497-nucleotide ribosomal RNA is filed under the name uncultured bacterium. RNAcentral describes it as "partial 16S ribosomal RNA". It matches the Rfam family "Bacterial small subunit ribosomal RNA", at positions 28 to 507 of the family's 1533-position model. The record is from RNAcentral.
GAUGAACGCUGGCGGCGUGCCUAAUACAUGCAAGUCGAGCGAACAGACGAGGAGCUUGCUCCUCUGACGUUAGCGGCGGACGGGUGAGUAACACGUGGAUAACCUACCUAUAAGUCUGGGAUAACUUCGGGAAACCGGAGCUAAUACCGGAUAAUAUAUUGAACCGCAUGGUUCAAUAGUGAAAGACGGUUUUGCUGUCACUUAUAGAUGGAUCCGCGCCGCAUUAGCUAGUUGGUAAGGUAACGGCUUACCAAGGCAACGAUGCGUAGCCGACCUGAGAGGGUGAUCGGCCACACUGGAACUGAGACACGGUCCAGACUCCUACGGGAGGCAGCAGUAGGGAAUCUUCCGCAAUGGGCGAAAGCCUGACGGGGCAACGCCGCGUGAGUGAUGAAGGUCUUCGGAUCGUAAAACUCUGUUAUUAGGGAAGAACAAAUGUGUAAGUAACUAUGCACGUCUUGACGGUACCUAAUCAGAAAGCCACGGCUAACUACGUG